Molecule: non-coding RNA, 439 nt
Organism: Salmo salar (Atlantic salmon)
Lineage: Eukaryota; Metazoa; Chordata; Actinopteri; Salmoniformes; Salmonidae
Source: RefSeq, a predicted model, not a curated record
GCAUCUCUCUGGGGAGAGAGAAGAGGGGGGCCCUGCCUCUAAAAUGCAUCUCUCUGGGGAGAGAGAGGAGGGGGGCCCUGCCUCUAAAAUGCAUCUCUCUGGGGAGAGAGAGGAGGGGGGCCCUGCCUCCAAAAUGCAUCUCUCUGGGGAGAGAGAGGAGGGGGGCCCUGCCUAUAAAAUGCAUCUCUCUGGGUAGAGAGAGGAGGGGGUUCCUGCCUAUAAAAUGCAUCUCUCUGUGGGACAUGACACCAAAGCUAAGAGCCCAAUCAAGCAGGAGAGACCAGCCUCCCCUGUACCCAGCUGUGUGUCCAUGAAGAGUGGCCGGUCUAUGGGUCAUCCAAUAAAGUUUAGAGAGGGAGACUUUUCUACUGAACAAAGAAACCAACAGGAGAGAUCAGAGUCAGAGAUUCUCAGUGGUCAGUCUUCCCAGAGUCAUCAA